This 463-nucleotide ribosomal RNA is filed under the name Cultellus sp. s JZ-2023. RNAcentral's name for it is "partial large subunit ribosomal RNA". It matches the Rfam family "Bacterial large subunit ribosomal RNA", at positions 1849 to 2612 of the family's 2925-position model. The record is from RNAcentral. Lineage: Eukaryota; Metazoa; Mollusca; Bivalvia; Adapedonta; Cultellidae.
GAGGUUGGGCCUGCCCGGUGAAUAACUAUUUAAACGGCCGCAGCGAAUAGCUGUGCUAAGGUAGCGUAAUAAAUUGUCUCUUAAUUGGAGAAGGGUAUGAAUGGUUUGACGUGGUAAUAUCUGUCUCAGUAAUAGUAAGGUGAAGUUUCCUUUUAGGUUAAAAGGCUUAAAUAUAGUUAAAAGACGAGAAGACCCUGUCGAGCUUGAUAAAAAUGUAAAGUGUUUUUAUAUAAUAAGUUUAGCUGGGGCAGCUGAAAACCAUAAAAUAGUUUUCUUUUUUUUGUAGAUCCGGUUUUACCGAUCAUAAGAAAAAGCUACCGCAGGGAUAACAGCGUUAUCUUUUCUGAGAGAACUAAUUGAAGAAAAGGUUUGCGACCUCGAUGUUGGAUUAAAAUUUCUUUUUGGUGUAGCAGCUAAAAUAGUAGGACUGUUCGUCCUUUAAAAUUUUACGUGAUCUGAGUUC